Molecule: ribosomal RNA, 254 nt
Filed under: uncultured bacterium
Lineage: Bacteria
Description: partial 16S ribosomal RNA
Rfam family: Bacterial small subunit ribosomal RNA
Source: RNAcentral
UACGUAGGUGGCAAGCGUUAUCCGGAAUUAUUGGGCGUAAAGCGCGCGCAGGCGGUUUCUUAAGUCUGAUGUGAAAGCCCACGGCUCAACCGUGGAAGGUCAUUGGAAACUGGGGAACUUGAGUGCAGAAGAGAAAAGCGGAAUUCCACGUGUAGCGGUGAAAUGCGUAGAGAUGUGGAGGAACACCAGUGGCGAAGGCGGCUUUUUGGUCUGUAACUGACGCUGAGGCGCGAAAAGCGUGGGGAGCAAACAGG